Molecule: ribosomal RNA, 483 nt
Filed under: uncultured bacterium
Lineage: Bacteria
Description: partial 16S ribosomal RNA
Rfam family: Bacterial small subunit ribosomal RNA
Source: RNAcentral
AUUGAACGCUGGCGGCAUGCUUUACACAUGCAAGUCGAACGGCAGCGCGGGCUUCGGCCUGGCGGCGAGUGGCGAACGGGUGAGUAAUGCAUCGGAACGUGCCCAGUAGUGGGGGAUAGCCCGGCGAAAGCCGGAUUAAUACCGCAUACGACCUGAGGGUGAAAGCGGGGGACCGAAAGGCCUCGCGCUAUUGGAGCGGCCGAUGUCGGAUUAGCUAGUUGGUGGGGUAAAGGCUUACCAAGGCGACGAUCCGUAGCUGGUUUGAGAGGACGACCAGCCAAACGGGAAGUAGGACACGUCCAAAAUCCCCAGGGGGGGCAGCGGGGGGAAUUUUUGGAAAGGGGGGAAAACCCGAAUCCGCACAGCCCCGUGGGGGAAAAAAGGCCUUCGGUUUGUAAACCCUUUUUGUUGGGAAAAAAAUCCUUGGGGGUAAAACCCCGGGGGUAGGAGGUAACCGAAAAAAAAACCACCGCUAAACCAGGG